Long non-coding RNA from Polypterus senegalus (gray bichir), 1671 nucleotides. RefSeq lists it as uncharacterized. The record is from RefSeq and is a predicted model, not a curated record. The transcript is spliced from 3 exons. Lineage: Eukaryota; Metazoa; Chordata; Cladistia; Polypteriformes; Polypteridae.
GAUCUUGAACAAACCAUAUGAUGAUGCAGUCAGCUCAAUGCUCCCACUUCGGCUUUGGGAGCCUUUUGAACCUGACGCCAUGAAUAGUCAUGACUGGGAGGAGCUUGGCAGAUGAGGACAAAUACACACAUCGCAUGGGACCGACGCCUCAGACACCGCCUUGGUACCAGGUUAUUGAAGGAGCAGAACACCCUGCCAUGUACCUUGGCUGAAAACUGCUGGACUGGGAGAUGAGCAACUGUGGUGGCACUUGGUCUGCCUUGGAGUAGAUCUGUCAUCACAAAAGAUGGAUAUAUUCUCUGAUACUUUGCAAUCAGCUGAAAGUCAUCUUUCCCUGCCGGGAGAUACAUUUCAAAACAUGGCUGAAGUAGGAUGUCUUGACUUAAACAAAACAAAACUUCAUAUGAAUGUUUUAUACAUAAGUAGCAUGUAAACUAUGGGCACAACAAAAAGGUAUAGCACAACACAAGGGCAGAAGCAGGUGGUGGCAGUAUUGACAUAAGUUGUCAUGUAAGAAUGAAGGGUACUGCCAGAGGAUGGUUUGCUGGGGGCCCUUCAAGUUCAUCAGUCAGCCUCUGAGAGUGAGAAGUGUGAUCUAGAUUAUAGCAGACUAUAUUCCCCCAGGACACCAAGUUGUGACCCAGCCACAAGAGCGAAAAAGAGCGAAGCUAAGGAGGGAAUUUCAGAAGUGGUCACAUAGUUCCAGACUGAAAGCAAACUGUUGCUAAAUUAGUACAGGUAUUUAAAAAGGUACCUUGGAAACACUUGGUCUAUCAAUACCUGUAUAAAAGUCAGCAGUGCAUUAGUCUAAGGGGCUAACAAAUUGCCAUUUGGCUUUAUGUCCCUGUUGUUUUAUGGAACUUCCCCAUCCCAAAGGUGACUUGAGGGAAUGCCUUGUAAGCAGAUGGUUUGGCAUAUCCUUAAGGACUACUUCUUAAAAGAAAGUAUUGUCAAAGUAACAGAAGGGGAAAGAUGAAUAAUGAUUGGUAAAAAGGUAGAGGUCUGAACCCGGAAGUCAAAAGGAUACAAUGUCUGAAUUCAAAAUGCAAGGGCAAAAUCUGAGAGUCAAGAGGCAACAUAAAAGAUCCUGGCUGCCUUAAAAUGCUUUCCCUAAAUAACUAAAUCUAAACAAAGGUUUUGUGAAAAAAGCUGAUGCCAGAAUUACCAGGACGCUGUCAUAAAUCAUUUUCUCCUCACAUGCAGUAGCAUCAUCAAACACACGACCAGAAAGGAACAUCGCUGCAAACAACAAAAUGUCCAAGAACACAUGGUAAACUCCAAAUGGCACCAUAAAGACAUCACCAAAAUAAUAAUAAUAAUAAUAAUGUACAUAAUUACAUUAAGGUAAGAAUAAUAGGCAAAAAUCAGACCUAAUGACACAAAGCAGAUUUGUAACACCAUGGAGUACAAAUACACCCUUGAGCCACAGCUUAACUGAGGGUAGAGUCGGGGCAAGCCCUCAACUGAAGAGUGUAAGAGAGAGGCCAGAUUAUUGAGAGAUGGAGUUGAGAAAAGAGUUUGGGAAUACGCUAUGGACAAGUGGACAAGCCAACUCAUUGGGUAGAGAUGGUUACAAACCUUUGCAAAUUGAACCUGUGAGACUGAACCACAUUUGCUUUCAUUUGUACUAUGUACUGUUAUGUAUAUAGAUGUACUGAAUAUUUAUUUGUA